Molecule: transfer RNA, 67 nt
Filed under: Pyxicephalus adspersus
Lineage: Eukaryota; Metazoa; Chordata; Amphibia; Anura; Pyxicephalidae
Description: tRNA-His
Rfam family: tRNA
About the family: Transfer RNA (tRNA) molecules are approximately 80 nucleotides in length. Their secondary structure includes four short double-helical elements and three loops (D, anti-codon, and T loops).
Source: RNAcentral
GUGAAUGUAGUUUAAUAAAACCCUAGAUUGUGAUUCUAGAAAUGAAAAUUAAUUUUUUCCAUUCACC